UGACCAAGCCUAGACAAUUAUUUACUAAAAAUACAGGUCUUUGUAAAGUUGUAAAACCAUGUAUGGAGGUCGAUACCCGCCUAAUGCCAAAAGGUCAAGAAAGUUAAUGACUUGAUGAUAGGGAAGUUGUCGACCAAAGCCUCAACGAACAAUAACUAUAACUAUAACGGUCCUAAGGUAACAAAAUUCCUUGUCAAGUAAGUUCUGAUUGUAAAAAAAGGUAACGAUUUGGAC
Molecule: non-coding RNA, 234 nt
Filed under: Ricinus communis (castor bean)
Lineage: Eukaryota; Viridiplantae; Streptophyta; Magnoliopsida; Malpighiales; Euphorbiaceae
Description: Bacterial large subunit ribosomal RNA
Rfam family: Bacterial large subunit ribosomal RNA
Source: Rfam by way of RNAcentral